RNAcentral lists this ribosomal RNA (377 nucleotides) under uncultured cyanobacterium. Its description in RNAcentral is "bacterial SSU rRNA". It matches the Rfam family "Bacterial small subunit ribosomal RNA", at positions 376 to 770 of the family's 1533-position model. The record is from RNAcentral. Lineage: Bacteria; Bacillati; Cyanobacteriota.
CGCAAGCCUGACGGAGCAAGACCGCGUGCGGGAUGACGGCCUAAUGGUUGUAAACCGCUUUUCUCUGGGAAGAUGAUGACGGUACCAGAGGAAUCAGCCUCGGCUAACUCCGUGCCAGCAGCCGCGGUAAUACGGAGGAGGCAAGCGUUAUCCGGAAUUAUUGGGCGUAAAGCGUCCGCAGGGGGCACAUCAAGUCUGCUGUUAAAGGCUGGAGCUUAACUCCGGUAGAGCAGUGGAAACUGGUGUGCUAGAGGGCGACAGGGGUAGAGGAAAUUCCCAGUGUAGCGGUGAAAUGCGUAGAGAUUGGGAAGAACACCGGUGGCGAAAGCGCUCUACUGGGUCGCACCUGACCCUCAGGGACGAAAGCUAAGGUAGCG